This 490-nucleotide ribosomal RNA is filed under the name uncultured bacterium. RNAcentral describes it as "partial 16S ribosomal RNA". It matches the Rfam family "Bacterial small subunit ribosomal RNA", at positions 30 to 507 of the family's 1533-position model. The record is from RNAcentral.
AUUGAACGCUGGCGGCAGGCCUAACACAUGCAAGUCGAACGGUAACAGGAAGAAGCUUGCUUCUUUGCUGACGAGUGGCGGCCGGGUGAGUAAUGUCUGGGAAACUGCCUGAUGGAGGGGGAUAACUACUGGAAACGGUCGCUGAUACCGCAUAACGUCGCAAGACCAAAGAGGGGGACCUUCGGGCCUCUUGCCAUCGGAUGUGCCCAGAUGGGAUUAGCUAGUAGGUGGGGUAACGGCUCACCUAGGCGACGAUCCCUAGCUGGUCUGAGAGGAUGACCAGCCACACUGGAACUGAAACACGGUCCAGACACCUAAGGGAGGCAGCAGUGGGGAAUAUUGCACAAUGGGCGGAAGCCUGAUGCAACCAUGCCGCGUGUAUGAAGAAGGCCUUCGGGUUGUAAAGUACUUUCAGCGGGGAGGAAGGGAGUAAAGUUAAUACCUUUGCUCAUUGACGUUACCCGCAGAAGAAGCACCGGCUAACUCCGUG